UUUCUUUUUUUUUCAGGUUUUUUUGUACUGUGUUGUUGGUGGGAUGUCACUGUCUGGAAGCAUUGGAAUUCCACUUCCGACGUGGUUUCGGACAAAACUUCAAGUCAGUCCAAGAGUGGUGCUACCAGUUAAAAAGAACAAUUGGUAUCGACCAAAUGAUUUUAUUUCAUCCAAUGAAAACCUAUAAAAUGCACCUCAAAACAAAGUUCAGGCCAUGUUGUACCAGGAAACCAAAAUCGGUAAAAACUUUCAGAAAAAACGUGGUCGGAAACGUGGAUAAAAAACGAGCAUCGGACCGGAAGGAAACGGACGGACAAACGAAUGCGACAAAGUAUAUCAGAAAAUCGAACAGAGGAUGACCACCUAGCAGAACAAAUAUACACCGCUAUAACACUAUUGUGCAGUGUUUGCAAGGUUUCUAAAACUGCUGUGCUGGAGCAACAAAACCAGUGGUACGAGUACGACAACAGAUCCCAUUGGCCUAUUCACUCAGGGUAACAAAGGAAAUUUGCUCAACAUAUGCGACCGGGCACUAACUGUCGACGCCGAGGAACUCUGUGAAGCUUGGGUAUUGGGGCUCCCACCCGAUAUCGGCCCGGGUUUUGGAAUUCUCCAUCCUUUUCCCCAACGGACCAUCGGUACCUGAAGAGAAGGUGGAUUCAAGAUUAUUUAUUACUACAAGAAACGGUGAUGUAUGCGCACCGAAACACUUCACACGCCGGAGCAGGAAGGAAACUAACCAGUGAAACCUUGGAAUUCCGUGUCGAACUUCCCACUUUUGUUAACAGCGUCCAUUAUUUCCUUCCUGCAAAGUUCAAAUUCAUGCAUUUUAAUUGAAACCCGUUCAGCUAUCAGUAGAGCCAUGACACACCGACAGAAGCGAGCUAGAUGAAUACCAGUUGAUGUAAAGAAGCAGCUUAGCACUAACCUGGAAAGAGGCUUAUUGUCACAGCCCAAAAAUAUACGACCCCGAGUUCUCUUUUUCAUUAUGGCAAUUGCAAGAGACGCUGCAUCCUGAGAAUAUAUAAAAUAACAUUACAACUCACAUGAUGCAGAUUGAUGUGACAUAUUUUGCUUAAUAAAUCAAUAAAGUUGUUUCUGUUUGUUUGAUCUGCCGUGCUUCGCUUAAUAAAACAAUAAAGUAGGAUCGUUUGCUAUGAUAAGACUGAAUUUUUUUAUAUAAAAGGAUGAAUCUGGGGUAAAUUUCUAUGCUCAUUUAACCUCAUAAUGUAUCUGAUUAAUAAUAUGGUCUGGCCGCGAGUCCAGUGUUCCCUUCCUCAACCAGAAAUAAUGAGCACCUCUAUCUAUUUUGUGUGUCUAAGUCAAGGAAAUACUGUAUGAGUUAUAUUCAUCUUAUAUUGUAUAAAAGCUCUAUGUUCAUGCUUGCAAUUUUAAACAGCCAAUAUGCAUAGGUGGAGGAUAUAUAAAGUCCUGCUAGCCUGAGAACACAGCCUCCUGCCUCCAGAACAACAUUUUCUGCUCUAAGAAGAACAUCAGUACGAGGACCCCUGCCCACGGGAAUAGAUGGACAAUCCUGCACAAUGAAGAGAAAAAACAUGGUAAAAACAAUUAAAAUAAAAUUCAGAAAAUAUUAGGAGCUAGUUGUGUGUUUCUAGGCAAGAAAUGCUUGUACUCCCAAACUACAACAAAUCUGAAGCUGCAUACUAUAUUAGACGUGUAAAUUUCUCUUUUCAUUUAGCGGAGCUUUUAUCACCCAAAAGAGCAACAACUGGUAGACACCUAUGAGAAUAUGCAGUCUAGCAGUAAUACCUCAUUGCACAAUCUGUUGUCGCUACAGUCAUAAAGAGCAGUACUCGACGUAAACAGGAAAGAACCUUCUCCGUUCCAAUUUGAGGCGGCCACUCUGCAUGCAUUUUCUGAAAUGAGGGUACAUCACAUGCCCAUGAUAUGCAAUUUGUUUAGCAUAAGAUAGAUCAUAGAUGCACACUGCACAGUAUCACAGCGAAACUAGUCUAGUUACUUUCUAACAGUUCAUUGAGAUGCAGAACUUUGCAUUUUUCCUACAAAGCUAGUGUAAUUCAUUAACAAUGGAAAAAAUCCUACUAACCAAAUUGAUGAUGCACAGGGGUGUGUUGACAUCAGAAAAAAGGUUGGUGGCACCCAUCUGCAUAUAAUACUAGUAAUAACAGAUCCUUACAGAAAAACUGUCCACUAGUCCAUCGAACAGUUUUUGGUAAAUCAUAAAAUCUUAGCCCUGGUGGAGUUAGUUGUUCCAAGCACAGUGCACAUCUAAAAUACAGUACUUAACUAAAAAAAUUACAAUAUGAAGUCCCAUAGCAGUAUGUACACACGUAGCUGUAUUAGAAUCAAGAUAAGAUCACCUAAUUUAUUUACAAAUACCAAAAGACCAGAAAGUCCUGGAUCAAGCAUGUUACACCACACAUUUCCCUCGGCUACUCCGUACAGCACUAUGAUACUGACAUUGCCAAUAUUAAAUCUGACACAUCCAUUACUACAGAUUAAAUUGCACUUCUACAGUGACCAUCUCCAUAAUAUCUGACCAGCCAUCAUCUCAGAUUGUCUACCAGCUUGAUUCACUCACAUUUGAUGCCACCAUCAAAGACCAUACAUACAUACAUCAAACAUUAAUGUCAUUAUGUCAAUGUGUUCAUCUUAACCAAUGUUCACUAUGGUUCAUGUGCCCUAAGGUUCAUAUCAGCAAUUAAACUUCCAUACUUCAAAGGAUUCAGUUUCCACAUGGAUGUGGGAUCUCAGCCCAAACUGCCCAGCCAUCAGGCAGUGACCACAAACUGGAGAUUGGUACCAAAUCUACUGCAUGGAGCCAUCAUUACAAUCACACUUGCUUACCUCAAAUCGCCAGGGUAAUCAUCAGAACGAGAUGGAGGAGCGCAGAAAAUAACAUAUGGAGCCUUUUGAGAGAUAGUGGAUCCCUUCAAGGAGGGAAUGAUGCCAAUAUCGGUUAGCUCGCUGUGAUGGUCUGUGCUUGCGGUCUGGCCAAAAACUUUGCAGCCUGGGUGUUCCUAUAGAAGGCGAGGUUGAGUACUUAAUUAGCCAAGACAUGAUUAUGUCAAACAGGUUGAUGUCAGAAAGUGGUUCUUUAGGCACGGGUAUUCAUACCUUUAGCCACUUCUCGGCUACCAGUCGCCCAAGCACACCUGGGCCGACGAUGAGUAGAUCGUUCUGGGUAACAAUGUCGGCACCGGGCAUUGUGACCCCUGUAUCUUGCGAUACCCCUAGCAGCAACAAAGAAGAAAAUGUAAAAGGUAGCUUAGUUGCACGCAUCGUUGUGGAAAGAACUCGACAUCUGGAGAUCAAGAGGGUGAACCUAGAGCCUCCAUCGGUCAUAUAUAUAACUUUCAGCACAUAGUAGCUAGAUAGCUUAAUUUACCAGGUACUGAAAUCUGCUACCCUUUGAUAAAUCGCUCAUUCCACCAUGACUGAAGGCCAUAAAUUGCCACAUACAGGUCAGGUGAAGUAGCUACUAGCUGAUGUCCAUCGGCGCUUUAUAUGAGACAAGCAAUAAUGCGCGACCUCGGAACCAAACUAGUAUAAACUAGUUGAUUUCAAUGGGAUAAAAAUAGUCAUAGUGAUAGCUAUAACACUUGUAAUUUGGAACUGACAGGAAUGAAUUUCAGAGGUGGGCACAGCAGCUCAACAGUGUAACUGGAGCGGAGCUGGAAGCGGAUUGCUAUCCAAUGGCACGAGCGAGCGAGUUCAUGGAAGGCGGGCAGCGCAAGGAACAGAAAGGGGUAAAAGACAAGGGUCGGCCAGAGAGUUACCGAGGGCGGCGGCGGCGACAGGCGCGCGGCGGGCUAGCGAGAGGAGCCGAGCUGGACGGCCGGCGGUCGGGGUGAGGGGCCUCACGGAGGAGGGGCGGGAGGCGGGGAGACGGAGGGUUGGGGUCCGGGUGGGAACCAGGGCGGCGGCGACGGCGACAUCCAUAUUUGUCGUCGGCCGUCGUGGAGAGCUGGGACGGGGAUGGAAAUUGGAUCGGUUGACGAGGAUAAUGGUGGCGACUUUGGGUUGGGCCGGGCCGAGUUUCCUGGAUGUUGCCAUGCCAAAAACGGAACCAGGGCCCAUUCGACCAGGUCAGUUGAACUGACUGCCUCAAAAAAAACAACAGUUGAACUGACUGCCUAUACAUGUACAGUACAAUUUUCUCCAAAUAAUAACAAUAAUAAUAAUAAUAAUAUACACUUCCAGAAGGACCAGGUCACCUUUUAUUGUAGUACUUGGGAAAGUGCUCCCAUGUUUUACACACAUGUCAUGGACUGGUUGCAUUGAUCGGUACAAGUAUACAAACACAAAAACUAAGAUAGCUGCUUGACAGCAUUUCAUCAUCAGUACUAAGGAAACAAAUAGCUACAUACUGCUACCCCGACUCCUAUAACUCCCAUCAUCUCGACCGUGCUAGAAGGGAUUUGCGCGGCUUGAGAUGAAGCAGCCGUCGAUCAACCUAUCCUUUGUCGUGCCGUGCAACAUGCUUCCCUUCCCUCUGACUCGGAUUCUGCCGGCCGUUCCGGCGUUCCUUCUCACCGGACAAUCUUUCCUGACAUAUGUGUUUUCCACCUUCAGAAGAGCACGGAACCGCCCACAACAAGUCACCUGCAAAUAAACAGCUUGAGAGUUGAGUACAUAGUCAUAUUCAAAGUUUCAAACGCUCCAGUCCAAGGAUGGCUACUUCAGUUUCUUGCUCAAACAUUGAUGGGCUGACACAAGCAACUGAGACAAAGCAAAACGCACUGACACGGCAUGCAUGAUUGAUUGGCAGGAGAUUCGCCCGGACCAGCCCAGCCCGUAGAGAAACACAGACCCGUCUUGCUUGCCUUCGUCCGAGGAAUCACCUGCAGGGAUCGCUUCCUACUCGAAUUCGGCCGCGACAAGAGAGAGCAGCGACGCUCGCUGUCUUGAUCAUCACGGCCGUGCUCGAGACACGGGAGCCACAUGAGACUCCACGCGGCUCGAGGGGAAGCAAACGUGUGCCCAUCCAUCCUCUGCGUGCUGCCGGGCAUGCUUCUUUCAGCUCAGAUUCUGCUCUUCAUUUUUGCAAAAUAUUCCAAAAAGAUCACAAAACCGCGACAAAUCACCUGCAAAGAAACAAAGCAAAAGCUUAGGUACAUAAGCUGGGAAAUCUUCAGGGUGACAACAUACACAAGUGUCCCCCCUCAAGUUGUUAGAGACCAGGGGCCUUCUAAAUUCUACCACCUCUGUUUCUAAACUGCCAAAACGUCUUGCACUUAGAAACAGAGGGUGCCUAAUGUGAAUGUUAAUAGCCCCUUGAUAUAAUGGAUCAUGCUCAAAACUCCAUAGUUAACUUUAGUAGAAACAACUACUAAUGCUCCCAACAUACAUCACCAACCAACAUCUCUUUAAUCUGAUGCUUAACUAACCCCAACUUUAGUAAAACAGCUACUCCCAACCAACAUCUCUUCAAUCUGAUGCUUAACUAACCCCCAACGUUUCUUAAAAAAAGCAACAGAAAAAUCAUCCAGCCCUGGUGUUAAACUGGUUUUCAAACUCCUUAUAACAUGUCAAUCUCAUAUAAUGAACGAGGUUGGAGCAGUAAAUCCUAAAUAGUUGAAUAGGAGAUCCCCACUAAUCUAUUUCUCUCAACAUGCAAACAUGCAUGUGAAAAGAUUUUCCAUUCUUCUAUGCUACUUGUGUCCAAUAAAUAUUUUACAAAACUAUACAAUAAUCAAAUACAAUAAAUCAUUUGUAUUUUCAGUUUUGAUACUGAUAUUAUUAAGCCAAAUACUCAUGUUACAAUCAAACAUCGUUGAAACAUAUUGCAACCAGUAUCCGCAUCAAUGUGCGGGGUAUCAUCCAGUUAUUAUCAAUGUGAGACACAAUUUGCACAGGCAGCCAGGCUCCUCUUUUUUCUUAGUUUAAGCACUCAUUUCCUGUGAUAUCUUCACCUUCCGUGCAACAAUGAAUGAGUUGAACACCUCAUCGCCUGCAGGGUGGUGCACGGCCAGCACUUGGAACCCGCCACGCCCGAUAUCGUCCAGCUCCACUACAGGAUACAGGAACGCUCGCGCCCCGUGGGCGCUUCGCGCGACGAGCACCGCCCCAUCUGCCAUGUGCUUCCCCAAGUGCGCGAUGGCGUCGGCCUUCUCCUCGGACGUCAUUCCCACGAGCGCCGCCAGGAAGACCACAUCAUACGCGCCGAGCUCAGCCGUGAGGUCCGCGACUUCGGCCGUGUGGAACGCCAUGCGCGCGCGCACGCCCUCGUCCGCCGCGCCGACCAGCUUCCUCGCCCGGCCAUUGGCCACGCUGCACCGGUCGUAGUUGUCGAACCGGGUGUCCGGCAGGUGGUACGUCGCGAGGAAGAGGGAGCUGAACGGCAGCGGUCCCGACCCGAUGAACGCCACGUGGGCCGGGGCUGCCACGUGACCGGACAGAAGAUCGUGCUCGAGCUUGCUCAGGUUGAUGUAGUUGUCAAAGUAAGGGAAGCGGCCGAGGUGGUCGAGCGGGUUGUCCAAGGCGGUGAGCAUGUCGGAGUAGUGCGCCUCGAGCAGCCCCUCGGCGGCCGAGCAGAGGCGGAUGAGGUCCUGCCGCAUCUCCUGUGCCUCCGGGCCGAGCUUGGUCACGUCCACCGGGCUCGACGGGACGCACGCCGCGACCAGCUCAGUGAAGAGCGCGUCGACUUCGGGGGACGGGCUUAGCGACGGGAGCUUGGAGAUGGCGGCGUGGAGGCCGGUGAUCUUCUCGACCAGAGCAGCCACCUCGCUGUUUUCGGCCUCCAUGUCACUUGACUGCCAAGUAGGUAUGGCUGGUGUUGUAGUGCUGUUCUGAAAAACAAAUGUAGGCUGUAGUGCUAUGAUGGAGCUGAUGCUUGAUAUAAUACGAAGGAAAAAAAAAUCAAUGGAAUUGCAAUUGAUUGAGCAGUUCGAUGAGCUGUGGAGAGUGAGGGGUGGUAUGUAGCAUGGAAAUCGUAUGCGUGGCGCGCUUCAUGCUUGCACAGACGUGACGGCCUGCUUCGUGCCUCUAAUUUCCGACAUGCGGCAUUGCAUCUUGCUGACCAGCUCAUGAUUUGGUAGCUAGCUUGACGAUAUACUAAAUUUGGAAUGAGGGGAUAGGUGGGUAAAUUUAGUCUCUGGCAUGUGCCUACGAGCCAACCUCUGUUGAAUAUUCACUCGGAUCUGAAGAAAAAUGGCAGAAUAGAGUUGUUCUUUACUAAGAUCUACCUAAGUUGAAUGUGAUUUUCUUUUGUCUAAAUCAGUAGAUCUAAGCUUAGUCUCUAUGUAAAUCUCAGUAUAGAGACAGUGGACGGUGGGAAACCGACUGAGCUGGCGAUGCGGGCACAGAAAAAGCUUCAGUACCACUGGCCUUACCCGUAGCAGCCGGCCGGCCGGCGUCCGCUCCCGCUCCACCGCGAGGCCCCCUUCAGCCUUCCGCGGCCUGACGAGUCUCUCUCCGUCGUGGAGGGGAGGCCGGCGACGUUCCCGGGCCCCCGAAGCGGAGGAGGGCACCGGCUGCGUCCCGGCGGGAACGGGAUGACGCUGCCGUCUGCAGCGGGGCAGCGAUGGCGAGGAUGACGGUGCAGGGAGGCGGCCGGAGCUCCCUCGCGCUGCAGGUGGUGGCCGGAGUUCAGAUCGGGAAGGCUUCUUUGGCUGGAGACUGGAGAGAGGAAUCGGGGAGAGGAGAAACCGAGCUUGACGACAGGCGCAUCGUGUAUGUUUUUUCUUUUGAUUGAGGGAAUAUUAUUAUUCCGGGAGUUGGGCUGGAUUAUUCUAGAAAGGAGUUGGGCUGGAUGGGCUACGCUAUGGUUUGCCACAGCCAGCAGCAGCCCGCACAAUUCUCAAAAUUCUCAACAAAAAUAAAGCAGCCGGCACAAUUUUGCCAAUAUGCAUGCUAUGAGUCUGUGUAAGUGGCAUAGAGGAGUGAAUUGCAUAAAACCACGAUUUUGGGGGCUAGGUUUGCGAAAAACACUAGGAUACAGUUUCUCUGCAGAAAACACCACAUUUUGCGUAAUGGUUUUGCAAAAACCACUGAUCGGCGGAUUUGGCUGCGAUAAGUGAGUUUAUUGACAGGUGGGGCCUUUUUUUGCCUACAUGGCGUAACUUUUUUGCCAGAUGGGUUUUAAUCUAAAAUUACAAACUAGACCCUAGAAUUUUACAUAAACACACCUAAAUCAAAAAUGAAAAAUGCAAUUAGCCCCCUCUUCUCGUUCUGCAGCAGAUCGGCGGCGCGUUGUCCGACUUGUCGUCGGCGGAACCGCGCCGGCGACGCCAUCGCCCCGAACAGGCGGUCCUUCUCGCAGCAGCUCGACGAGGUCAGCGAGAGGCUCCUGCUCGGCCUCCGCGAGGCGGUGGCAGCACCCGACGGUGGCAGCGCCAUGGACAACGACGAGUCCCCGGGGGUCGGCGAGGCGGCUUCUCUGCGGCCAUGGAAGGCGCGCACCCGACGACGACGCCGCGCCUUGAUGUCGUCCCCCGCGCCCGUCGCGAGCCCUUCGCCCCAGGCGUCGGAGCGCAAGCGGAGGCUGGUCCGUGCCGACGCGCUCGACGGGGCAUGGUUCUCCGCGACGCUCUUUGCCGAGGAGAUCGAGGAGGACGUGUACGCCCGCGCCAUGCAGAAGCAGCUUGAUGUGGACUCGAUGUCCCCGGCGCCCGGGGGGGCACGGGCUUAUGCAUCUCACGGCAUGGACGGUGGUGCCCGGCGAGGUAGGCAUGCGAGCGCCGAGAUCGCUGGAUCCGGCCCGAAUACAGGACGAGGUCAAAAUCCCCUCUGCCUCGUCCGGGGUCGGGAUGGGGGCGGAGAGAAAUUUGGGGGACUUUUUCGCAUUAAACCUAAACUGUUAUGCCACUUAAGUAGAAAACGGACCCCAUCUGCCAUAAGCGCACUUAAACGAGCCAAUUGUGCCCAUAAGUGGUUUUUGCAAAACCAUUACGCAAGAUGUGGUGUUUUCUACAUAGAAACUGUAUCCUAAUGUUUUUCGCAAACAUAGCCCCUAAAGUCGUGGUUUUAUGCAAUUUACUCGGCAUGGAGAGGCCGCACGCGUACCUCAGAAGAGAGAUUAAUUUAGUCGGCGGUGGAAAAAGCAGAACAAGGAUUAUCACUCAUCACUUAAACUCAAUCUAACGGUUACAAUCGGUCGAUUGGGGUCUCUGUAAUUCACAAUCACACACCGAGAACCAUCAAAGCCCCAAGAAUGAUUGAAGAAUAUUGUUUUCUAGUAACAGGAUAAUCUUGUUGUCCUGUCUUUGUAGCUACACCAACCCCGUCCGCGUCUUCGUCAAGCAUUAACUAAUUUAUCAACCAAACGUGGCAGAUGGAUCAAUUUGUUGUCCAUUUCAACAAGUUAUGAGGGUGGACAUGGUCAUGUGCACUGCAGUGCAGUGCAGUGAUGAAGAGGAUAAGGGACGACGAAAAUUCUUCGCAAGAGGCGUGCAUGGGCACUCCCCAUGUGCAAUCAUGAAGAGGUUGCAUGACAGGCGAAGCUUCUUCCGGCCAGCCGCCGCGCUCCAGAAUUCAACGGCCAAGACUAGCGCACGCUUAAAUUGUUCCAUAAAAUGGCGGCACUCGGCGCCUCGGGUCAUUCAUCCAACCAUGUCCACGCUGAGAGCGCGGUGUGCGACGGCCGUCCUGGCCGUCGUCCUGGCGGCGGCCGCGGUCACGCCGGCCACGGCCGAGCAGUGCGGCUCGCAAGCCGGCGGCGCCAAGUGCGCCGACUGCCUGUGCUGCAGCCAGUUCGGGUUCUGCGGCACCACCUCCGACUACUGCGGCCCCCGCUGCCAGAGCCAGUGCACUGGCUGCGGUGGCGGCGGCGGCGGGGUGGCCUCCAUCGUGUCCAGGGACCUCUUCGAGCGGUUCCUGCUCCAUCGCAACGACGCAGCGUGCCUGGCCCGCGGGUUCUACACGUACGACGCCUUCUUGGCCGCCGCCGGCGCGUUCCCGGCCUUCGGCACCACCGGAGACCUGGACACGCGGAAGCGGGAGGUGGCGGCCUUCUUCGGCCAGACCUCUCACGAGACCACCGGCGGGUGGCCCACCGCGCCCGACGGCCCCUUCUCAUGGGGCUACUGCUUCAAGCAGGAGCAGGGCUCGCCGCCGAGCUACUGCGACCAGAGCGCCGACUGGCCGUGCGCACCCGGCAAGCAGUACUAUGGCCGCGGCCCCAUCCAGCUCACCCAGUAAGCACCCACAAACUCUCUUCAGCUCAUGUAGUUCUCUCCUAACUCAAAGCUUCUGAGUUUUAACGAAAAAUUACCAGCAUCUGUGACAGUGCCGUCAGCGUAAUUAGAUCAAUGAUAAAGUAUAUAUUUUCACUCACUUGAUAUGAUAUUGUUUGGAACUUUGGAUUGGUAAAAACAUAAAAAGUGUAGUGUCUUUGUUGGCCUGAUUGUUUCAUGCUGGAUUGAUUCAGCAACUACAACUACGGACCGGCGGGCCGCGCAAUCGGGGUGGACCUGCUGAACAAUCCGGACCUGGUGGCCACGGACCCGACAGUGGCGUUCAAGACGGCGAUAUGGUUCUGGAUGACGACGCAGUCCAACAAGCCGUCGUGCCAUGACGUGAUCACGGGGCUGUGGACUCCGACGGCCAGGGAUAGCGCAGCCGGACGGGUACCCGGGUAUGGUGUCAUCACCAACGUCAUCAACGGCGGGAUCGAAUGCGGCAUGGGGCAGAACGACAAGGUGGCGGAUCGGAUCGGGUUCUACAAGCGCUAUUGUGACAUCUUCGGCAUCGGCUACGGGAAUAACCUCGACUGCUACAACCAAUUGUCGUUCAACGUUGGGCUCGCGGCACAGUGAGAUGGUAAGACUAUGGGUCCUUGAUAUGCAUGUGUGGAUGUGAUCACACAUAAAUAAAUAAUCUUGGGAAGUACUUUAUGACCAAAUAAAUGGAUGACCAGACCUCCCACGUGUGUAAUGGUACAUUUACGUCGAUGAACGGAGAGGAAUCACCUUUAUUAAAAAAAAAGUUAUAGUAGUUUAUGCAGAAACGUCUGCAAACUAUAUGUCGCCUAAUGUCCAUACUCGCUUGUCUCAGUGGACAGUUAUUUCGUACCUCCUCCGCCCCAAAAUAAAAUAAGCGUCAACCUUUGGUUGGAUAAUUAGAGUGACAGUGAUAUUCCCAGCUCACUAGGGUUUAAGUCCUGGUGCUCACAUUAUUCGUGGAUUUAUUUUAGGAUUUUCGGUGAUGCGCUUUCAGUGGGAGGAGACGUUUCCGUCGACUACGAGGCGCCUACGGUGACUUUGUAAAUUUCAAGAUGAUAUGCCGACUCAGUCUCUCGAAGGUGCUCAUAGGGGUAAGGUGUGCGUGUGUAUGUUCAUAGGGAUGAGCGUAUGCGCAUAUGUAUGAGCGCUUGCGUUUGUACUAUGUUAAAAAACACUUAUUUGAGACGGCUGAAGUACUCUACUAAUUUUGCUAAUAAAUUGACGAGUGUUUAGAGCAGAAAUGAAUUUACUUGCCCAUUUCUUUACUUCAAACUAUUUGUUAUUUACGCUAGUCAGAUUUCAGUUAUGUGGUGGAAUUAUUAUAUUUGACAUGCAGGUUCCAAACUACUUUUUUUAACCGAGAAAGGGGGCAACAGUGCCAUAUAUUUCAACUCAUAGACAUAAUACAGAGUGAAAGUACAUAACCCUGUCGGGGAGAAAGAAGAAGAACUUGAAUUACAGGGCAUGGCCUAUACCCAUGGGCUAAGCAAAGAUAACCGGAAGAAGAUCUAAUCAGAAGGAUUAGAGCAACUUCAAUGUGGUUACCCAAACGGAAUUUGUCCGCUUUUAUCCGUUUGGGUCGGCCAAGCGGGCGUGCGCAUCCGCUUUUUGAUUUGGGUCGGCCGGUGCGUCCAACGGGUGGCAGACGCAUAUUUGCACGCGUAAAAAAAAACUUCAGAGACACGUGUCCGGAAAAAACUUCAGUAGAACUGGCUUUACCCGUAGCGUCUGCUCCCGCUCCACCGCCAGCCCUCUCCGACCAGGAGGGGGGGGGGGGCGCCGACGUUCCCGGGCCCCCGCAGUGGAGGAGGACACUGGCUGCGUUGUGGCUGGCCGGUGCGGCAGGAUGAUGUCGUUGUAUGCAGCGGGGCAGCGAAGGCAAUGAGCAUGCCGCGGGGAGGCGGUUGGAGCUCCCUCGCGGUGCAGGUGAUGGCCAAAGUUUAGAUGGGGGAUUGGAUCAGUUGCCCCACUUUUAUAUGGGGUUUGAUGAUUUGCCUCAGGUUUGUCUCAAUGGCUGGUGGCCCCGGUCCCAUCCGUCAAUCUCGGGGAGCAAAUAACUUAGAAGUAAAGUGGGGCAAUAGAUAUAACUAGUAAAAUGCCCGUGCAACGGGUUAGCAAAACUGUGACGUUCCAAUCAAGCAAUUGAGAACAUAUAAUGUAUAACCCACCUUAUUAAUCCAAAAUUAAAUAAAAUUGAGCGCUAGUUACACUUAUAUAAGAAUAUAAUACAUUUAGUUGAUGGAUUACAUGCGAGAAGCUUAGAGACCACAAUUUAUUCUAAAAAUCUUAGUUUAAAUUUAGCAAUUGAAACUUUCGUUAUUCAUCAUAGAGAUACAAACCGUGACUCUGUUUUUGUUUGGAAUUUUCAUUGUAGACACAACAAUAUAGAAUACUACUUAUAUAUAUGCAUCUGUGAAAUUUUUCAAGACAUUUUGUAGAGUUUUGAGCACCAAAAAAUUUAGAUUUAUGCUAAUCCUGAGAAGCUUAGAAGGAGUAGAGAAGAAAGAGAUAUUCCAACCAAUUUCUUUAUUUUUAUUUUCUUUCAACCCCUUCUUUUGCCACUGACCAGUGGGUCUCUUGGGUCAGUCCAGCACUCCAGCAGCGUCAGCUACUCAACUCCAAGGGACACGCGCCGGCAAGGGCCGCAGCAUCCUGCCCGGCUGUCUAUUCAUCUUUUCUCCUCCUCCACUCCUCACUCUUUUCCUCCCCCUGGAUCCCCUUUCUUGUCAAGCUCGCUGGGGACGCCCCCGCUUGCCGUUGCAACGCCAGCCAUUGGCCGCCAGCCGUCGGUCCGGAUCGACGCUCACGCUCACGCCUCCGGCUCCGACAUGCACGCCGAUUGGACGCCGCCGUGAACCACCUCGCUUCUCCGGUGCGCUCUUGCUCCUAGGUAGUUCCCUAGCUCGAUUGUUGCUCUUGCCGUCCCUUUAAUGGUGAUUCCUGGCUCCGGCGUGCAGGUACGUCUUGAACCAAGGUCGCCUUUCUCGGUUCCGUCGGCGCUGUUGCGACGCCGCCGCGGUCAUCCUCCUCCCCGAGCAGCUCUAGGGGCCGUGACGGGCUCCGCGUCGUCCGCGUCUCCUCUGGACCACGGACUCGAAGCCGUGGGCCCCUCCUACUUCUUCCUCGACCGCUGACCGCCAUUGACGCCGUCCGAAACUUGCUGCCACGAACAGCAAGGUGAGGCCGUGAGGAGUCAUCUCUGCCUGUUGCUGCUGCUCGCUGUUGGCUUGCUUUGCUGCUUGUUGUUGUUGCCGCUGCUGACUGCUUGAUGCUGCUGGUUGUUUUGCUUACCGAUGCUGCUUGCUUUUGUUGCUUGCUGCUGCUGGCCUUGAGCUGCGGGUAAAUGAGAGAAAGAAAGGAAGUUUUACAUUUGUAUAGGGAGAUGGUCGUAUUUAGAUUCAUUUAGAAAUGGCCAUGUUUCAGUACCGUUUAAUUUACUUGUUCGUCGUAAAGUCAGACUAAGCCUAGUCUUUCCUGUGCAUAAAAGUUUCAGAAAAAUGCUCAACCUGCUGAACUUGGAAAAUCCAUAAAAAAUCAUUCCAGUUUCUGUUUGGAGCAGUACUGAUAUGGAGUUGGCUGGUUUAAAUUGUACUGUAGCAAUGGAAAAUAUGAACAUGGUCAAUAUUAUUGCUUGGAAGUAAAAGAUCAUGUACUCCUUUAACAACACGUCUUUAGAUCUGGUAAAAAUUCACAACUUGCAUUAGAAAAUGUUGUUGUCAAUUUCAGUAUCUUCAUUUUCAUCUUACUGUAUGACAUCAUAUUCUUAGCUUUGUUUGACAUGGCUAGGAGUUGCUUGUUGUUCAUGAUCAGCGGGUCAUGGCAUUAACUUGGAUUAAUUAACAUGGAAACAAAUAAGUGAAUUGUGAGGGUCGUGGUGGGAGUGUUGGCUUCGAUGGGACGCGUUAGUCAUGGUCGGACAACCAUUGACUAAUCCCCUAUCGAGGCACUUCCCGGAAUUUGAACCCUGGUGGGUUGGGGAUAGCAGGGUCCACCUAACCAUCUCAACCACAUGUUGGUUCGCUCAGUCGCCCUUCUAUUAUUAGGUAGAGAGGUAGAGAUUUCUCGGGUUAAGAUCGGGAAGGCUUCUUUGGCUGGAGAGAGGAAAAAGGUGAAAGGAGAAACAAAGGCUCAUCGUGUAUGUUUUUUUAAGGCCGUAUGUUUUUUCUUUUGAUGGUAGUCAUUAUUCCAGGAGUUGGGCUGGAUCAUUUUAGAAAGGAGUUGGGCUGGAUGGGCGUGUCCAGCAAGUUCUUCUACAAAAAGAAAAUCUAAAAAAAACAGCUUUUCUUUUUUUUUUUGCCCGGAAAAAAUAAACACGACAGUGUGUACUCUAUUUUUUUCUGAUCAAAAAAUGUGCACCGUUUCUAUUAGAAAAGGACCAACACAUAGAAAAUUUAAUAAUCGCUUUGAAAAAAGGAAAUUUAAUAACCCAUAACAUAUAUGAGAAUCACUGAUGGAAUUUUUGGAUAAGGGUAUGAUCAGAUACCUGAUGAUUGUAUAAUUGUAGGUACGAGAAGGUCAUAUUUGGGUGCAGGGUGACAAUAUUUAUAUAUGCAUCUAAUGACUUAUAUCGCAAAAAAAAAAAAAUGCAUCUAAUGACUCGAGGCAGUUUGGACAUGUGCCUUAUGGUCUCGUACAAGGGAAGAUGUCCUAUCGGGUAUGUUGAGUAACUUUCUGUUCUGCUUCCCCGUUAGCUUAAUGAAAAGCCUGAUGAAGCUUUGGUGUGGUUCUGUACCCUGUCGUAAGAUUUACAUGUACAGUUUAAAAUUGCCCAAAUAAGAUUUCCCGUCCACUUUGGGAUCAGGUUUGUUUUUGUCAUUGUUAACUAGUGAUGCUCUUGAACUUAAUUUUUUUAGUAACCGAUUUAAAACUGAAACUGACAUGUUAUAUCUUUAUUACAUGCUGUGAAUAUUAGGGCAAGUAAUGGAGAAAUUCACUUUGGCUCAUAGGUGUAGAUGAACCCAUUUUCUAAAUACGAAUUUUAUAAAGUAAAAAAACAUCAAAUAAAAAAAUCCCGUGUGUAUAUCCGGACAUUAUGUUCGUGCACAAAGUUUCGGUGAAAAAGGAAAAAUUUUGUGGCUUGUGUAAGAAAGAAUUUUUUUUAUGCUUGAUUAUAACUAUUCAGGAGACAUUUUUUUUAAUCUUUUUUAUACAUGCCACAAAAAAUGUUUUUUCUUUGUGACAUUUUGUGUGCGAGCAUAGAAUGUCCGGAAUGUACACGCGAAAUUGUUGUUCGGAAUUUUUAAUAUUUUAAAAUGUGUUUUUUAUAUAUUUCAAAAUAGAUGUAUCUACACCUAUGAGCCAAAACUCCACUCUCCAAGUAAUGAGAAUAUUCCAAGUUUAAUUUCAAGUGCUUCGGCGUCCUUCCAUUUCAUAAUUCUUAUCGUGGUUUUAGAUCAAAUUCAAACUAAAACCACGAACGUCGGAGUAGUGCUUACUAGAGUAGCAACAGACUCAAGUUACGGUUGGAGCAGUUCCUCACUGCCUGCAGAAAUAAACUUUUUCAGUCCAGGCAGGCAGGCAUCCUCAGAGGAACGCAAGAACUUUCUUUAGGCUUUACAACGGUAGCCAAUCUUUGGCACCAAACAAAUUAUGCUUCAAGCGAUACAUAUAUUCAGCCUGGCAGUCAGCAAGACUCCGAUGACGCGACACUGACUGACACUCAGACAAAACAUCUUAGGACUUCAGACUUACACUCUCCUCUUUUUCUUCAGAAUUCAACCACGCGCAGAUAGAUGAAACGCAAAAGCUUCUUCAGGCGUGAAGCUUGUUGUUAAUGGAACGGCGUGUCAGUGAUAGGAUCCGAGUUGGAUGAAAGGCAGGCUAGGUAAUCGCGGCUUUCAGUGCUUACAUCUCACCGUAAAUUUGAAACGCGGAAGAGUGUUUCAGACUAAAUUAUCAUCUUCUUCAGACUAGACAGAACAUUUUCUCGCUGCCACUUCUUCGUGCAGAAAUAUACUUUGUACCGAAAUACUUGUAGCUGGGGUCUCCAACUAUAGCCGACCUGGAUGCAAAUUCAAUUCAGAAGGCGCUCACAUACAGCACACAAAAACUUUCUUCAGACUAACACUCUGAAUUUGAUCAAUUAUCUCCAAAUUUGAUCAGAGGCAGUUCGAAAGCAUCAGAAAAGAAGGCAAUGUAUUUUUUCAGACUUAAAAACUCCUGUUUUUUUCUUGAGAAUUCGACCAUACAGGGAACAAACUCCCUCAGUUCUCACAUCUCAUACAUCGCCAAAAGACACAUAGUGACACUGAUAUUUGACCCGAGAGUCAAACAAGAAGGACACUGACACUACCGGACUAACUUCACCUUGACACGCAGCGACCACUAGGACUCACUCUCACUCACCAUGGACAGACACUGCUCAUCUUCUUCUCCUCCUGAUUGGAAUGAACUGAAAUUCUUCAGUCGACCUCCUCCAUCUUGCUCUCCUCGGCGCCCUCCUCCUCCAGCGCGGGCAUGUCAGCAUCCUCCUCCUCCGCAUCGGCCUGAUCAUCGAUGUUGAGCCCGAGCUUGAGCAUGCGGUGGAUCCUGGCGGCGAAGGUGUUGGGGUCGUCGAGGCUGAACCCGGAGGUGAGCAGCGCCGUCUCGAAGAGCAGCAUCACGAGGUCCUUGACGCUCUUGUCGUUCUUGUCGGCGUCGGCGCGCUUGCGGAGCUCCUCCAUGAUGCCGUUCUCCGGGUUGAUCUCCAUGGUCUUUUUGGAGGACAUGUAUGCGCCCAUGCUGCUGUCCCUCAGCGCCUGCGCCUUCAUGAUCCGCUCCAUGUUGGCCGUCCACCCGUACUCGCCGGUCACCAGGCAGCACGGCGAGUCCACGAUGCGGUCCGAGACGACGACUUUCUCCACCUUGUCGCCGAGGAUGUCCUUGAUGGUCUUGCAGAGUCCCUCGAAGGCGGCCUUCUUCUCUUCCUUGCGCUUCUUUUCUUCUUCAGUUUCUUCGUCGAGCUUGAGCCCCUCCUUGGUGGCGGAGACGAGCUUCUUGCCGUCGUACUCCUUGAGCUGCCCGACGGCGUACUCGUCGAUGGCGUCCACCAUGAAGAGCACCUCGUAGCCGCGCUUCUUGAGGCGCUCGAGGAAGGGCGAGUUCUCGACGGCCUUGCGGCUCUCGCCGGUGAUGUAGUAGAUGUCCUUCUGGCCCUCCUUCAUCCGGGUGACGUAGUCCUUGAGGCUGGUGAGGUCGUCGCCGCUCUUGGUGGAGUGGUAGCGGAGGAGGUCGGCGAGCUUGGCGCGGUUCUGCGAGUCCUCGUGCACGCCCAGCUUGAGGUUCUUGGAGAAGGCCUCGUAGAACUUGGCGUAGUCCUCUUUAUUCUCGGCGAUCUCGAAGAAGAGCUCGAUGCACUUCUUGACGAGGUUCUUGCGGAUGACCUUGAGGAUCUUGUUCUGCUGCAGCGUCUCCCGGGAGAUGUUGAGGGGGAGGUCGUCCGAGUCGACGACGCCCUUGACGAAGCCCAGCCACUCCGGGAUGAGCUCCUCGCAGUUGUCCAUGAUGAAGACGCGGCGCACGUAGAGCUUGAUGUUGUUCAUCUUCUUGCGGGUGUCGAAGAG
This 17686-nucleotide long non-coding RNA is filed under the name Triticum aestivum (bread wheat). RNAcentral's name for it is "long non-coding RNA (TAES_LNC023509)". Lineage: Eukaryota; Viridiplantae; Streptophyta; Magnoliopsida; Poales; Poaceae. The record is from RNAcentral.